Long non-coding RNA from Neofelis nebulosa (Clouded leopard), 1101 nucleotides. RefSeq lists it as uncharacterized. The transcript has 2 exons. NCBI's taxonomy places the organism in Eukaryota, Metazoa, Chordata, Mammalia, Carnivora, Felidae. The record is from RefSeq and is a predicted model, not a curated record.
AAAAAAAAUUUUUUUUUAAAAGAGAAUAAGAUGUUUAAGAAGACCCACGUGGGGAAUGAUCAAGGUUGAGAAACCAUUGUCUCUGCUCUUAAUCAGACCACGGAGCUGAGUCUCAUGCUUAAAGCCUGGGUUAGGCAACAGGAUGGAAAUGACAUCUUCAGAAAAAUAAAGCAGCGGUGGAGUGGAGGGGAGGGGGAGCUGCCGGAGUAGGAGGGAAGGAACAGACGUGGGCCACGUGCUUCUCCGUGCCAGAUGUGUUGAUAGGUCCUCAAGCGACAGUUGGCAAGAAGGGCAUGCUUGGUGUCCAGGGAGUAGUGCUGAGUCAUUUUACGGAGUUGGUACGCUUCUUGGAGGUGGAACCUGCGGGAACACCUCGGUUUAAAAAGAGCCACGCGCCGACGCCAGGCUUCCUCUAGAGGCUCCAGCAUUCUGCUUAGCGAAUAGACCGCAGGCUGCUUCAGUACCGUGAGCUCAUGCACCUCCGACAAAUUUGGAGUAUCCUCAAAUCUGAAUUGGGCACGAGGAGGCAUCCCUUUCAAAUAUCUUGAAUGGCUUAAAUGGAAAAUUGACUUAAAAUUUCUUCUGCGGGGCGCCUGGGUGGCUCAGUCGGUGAAGCACCCGGCCCUUGAUCUGGUCAUGAUCUCAUGGUCUGUGAGUUCGAGCCGUGUGUGGGGCUCCGUGCUGGCAGCUCAGAGCCUGGAGCCUGCUUCGCAUUCUGUGUCUCCCUCUCGCUCUGUCCCUCCCUUGCUGGCACUCCUUCUCUCUCUCUCUCUCAAAAAUAAAUAAACAUUAAAAAAAAAAAAGAUGAAUUCAUCCACAGCAUAGUGACAGCAGUUAACAAUACUGUAUCCUGUACUUGAAAGUUGCUAAUGUUUCAUCAUCACAACAACAAAAUGGUAAUUAUGUGAGACAUAUGUGUAUCCAAUCAUCACAUCGUACACUGGAGAUUGAUAUCGUCUUGCACGUCAAUUAUAUCUCAAUAAAGCUGAAAAACACACUGGAAAUGUCUUUAAAAAGAAAAUGCGUCUGUCGUUCUCCAGGAGUCUCAUUUGGAUUGAAAGUUUUUCUUUUUUUAAAGUGUUUUUUUUUUAAAUUUUUUUU